AGAACGAACGCUGGCGGCAGGCUUAACGCAUGCAAGUCGAACGCCCCGCAAGGGGAGUGGCAGACGGGUGAGUAACGCGUGGGAAUCUACCCAGAUCUUCGGAACAACUGAGGGAAACUUCAGCUAAUACCGGAUACGCCCUACGGGGGAAAGAUUUAUCGGUUCUGGAUGAGCCCGCGUUGGAUUAGCUAGUUGGUGGGGUAAUGGCCUACCAAGGCGACGAUCCAUAGCUGGUCUGAGAGGAUGAUCAGCCACACUGGGACUGAGACACGGCCCAGACUCCUACGGGAGGCAGCAGUGGGGAAUAUUGGACAAUGGGCGAAAGCCUGAUCCAGCCAUGCCGCGUGAGUGAUGAAGGCCUUAGGGUUGUAAAGCUCUUUCAGUGGGGAAGAUAAUGACGGUACCCACAGAAGAAGCCCCGGCUAACUUCGUGCCAGCAGCCGC
RNAcentral lists this ribosomal RNA (444 nucleotides) under uncultured bacterium. Its description in RNAcentral is "SSU rRNA". It matches the Rfam family "Bacterial small subunit ribosomal RNA", at positions 26 to 518 of the family's 1533-position model. The record is from RNAcentral.